GCUGGCGGCGUGCCUAACACAUGCAAGUCGAACGAGAAAGUGGAGCAAUCCAUGAGUAAAGUGGCGACCGGGUGAGUAACACGUGACUAACCUACCCUAGAGUGGGGGAUAACCUCGGGAAACCGGGGCUAAUACCGCAUAACAUCACGAGGGGAAGAUCCUUGUGAUCAAAGGAGCAAUUCGCUCAAGGAGGGGGUCGCGGCUGAUUAGCUAGUUGGUGGGGUAACGGCCCACCAAGGCAAAGAUCAGUAGCCGGCCUGAGAGGGCGCACGGCCACACUGGAACUGAAACACGGUCCAGACUCCUACGGGAGGCAGCAGUGGGGAAUUUUGCGCAAUGGGGGAAACCCUGACGCAGCAACGCCGCGUGGAGGAUGAAGUCCCUUGGGAUGUAAACUCCUUUCGAUCGGGACGAUUAUGACGGUACCGGAAGAAGAAGCACCGGCUAACUCUGUGCCAGCAGCCGCGGUAAUACAGAGGGUGCAAGCGUUGUUCGGAAUUAUUGGGCGUAAAGGGCGCGUA
RNAcentral lists this ribosomal RNA (521 nucleotides) under uncultured soil bacterium. Its description in RNAcentral is "bacterial SSU rRNA". It matches the Rfam family "Bacterial small subunit ribosomal RNA", at positions 35 to 573 of the family's 1533-position model. The record is from RNAcentral.